UGGUCAAGUUAUUAAGGGUGCAGGGCGGAUGCCUUGGCACUAGGAGCCGAUGAAGGACGUGAUAAGCUGCGAUAAGCUUCGGGGAGUUGCACGUAAACUUUGAUCCGAAGAUUUCCGAAUGAGGAAACUCACUUAGAGUAAUGUCUAAGUAUCAUUAAGUGAAUACAUAGCUUAAUGAGGGGAACUCAGGGAACUGAAACAUCUAAGUACCUGAAGGAAGAGAAAGAAAUUCGAUUCCGUAAGUAGCGGCGAGCGAACGCGGAUUAGCCCAAACCAAUAAAGUUUUCUUUAUUGG
This 295-nucleotide ribosomal RNA is filed under the name Clostridioides difficile. RNAcentral describes it as "partial 23S ribosomal RNA". It matches the Rfam family "Bacterial large subunit ribosomal RNA", at positions 1 to 295 of the family's 2925-position model. Lineage: Bacteria; Bacillati; Bacillota; Clostridia; Peptostreptococcales; Peptostreptococcaceae. The record is from RNAcentral.